RNAcentral lists this ribosomal RNA (450 nucleotides) under uncultured bacterium. RNAcentral describes it as "partial 16S ribosomal RNA". It matches the Rfam family "Bacterial small subunit ribosomal RNA", at positions 354 to 796 of the family's 1533-position model. The record is from RNAcentral.
GUGGGAAAUAUUGGACAAUGGGCGAAAGCCUGAUCCAGCCAUGCCGCGUGUGUGAAGAAGGUCUUCGGAUUGUAAAGCACUUUAAGUUGGGAGGAAGGGCAGUAAGUUAAUACCUUGCUGUUUUGACGUUACCAACAGAAUAAGCACCGGCUAACUUCGUGCCAGCAGCCGCGGUAAUACGAAGGGUGCAAGCGUUAAUCGGAAUUACUGGGCGUAAAGCGCGCGUAGGUGGUUCAGCAAGUUGAAGGUGAAAUCCCCGGGCUCAACCUGGGAACUGCCUCCAAAACUACUGAGCUAGAGUACGGUAGAGGGUAGUGGAAUUUCCUGUGUAGCGGUGAAAUGCGUAGAUAUAGGAAGGAACACCAGUGGCGAAGGCGACUACCUGGACUGAUACUGACACUGAGGUGCGAAAGCGUGGGGAGCAAACAGGAUUAGAAACCCGGGUAGUCC